Molecule: ribosomal RNA, 440 nt
Filed under: uncultured bacterium
Lineage: Bacteria
Description: partial 16S ribosomal RNA
Rfam family: Bacterial small subunit ribosomal RNA
Source: RNAcentral
CCUACGGGAGGCUGCAGUGGGGAAUAUUGCACAAUGGGGGAAACCCUGAUGCAGCGACGCCGCGUGAGUGAAGAAGUAUUUCGGUAUGUAAAGCUCUAUCAGCAGGGAAGAAAAUGACGGUACCUGACCAAGAAGCCCCGGCUAACUACGUGCCAGCAGCCGCGGUAAUACGUAGGGGGCAAGCGUUAUCCGGAUUUACUGGGUGUAAAGGGAGCGUAGACGGUUGUGCAAGUCAGAAGUGAAAGCCCCGGGCUCAACUCCGGGACUGCUUUUGAAACUGUGAAGCUGGAGUGCAGGAGAGGUAAGCAGAAUUCCUGGUGUAGCGGUGAAAUGCGUAGAGAUCAGGAGGAACACCAGUGGCGAAGGCGGCUUACUGGACUGUAACUGACGUUGAGGCUCGAAAGCGUGGGGAGCAAACAGGAUUAGAUACCCGUGUAGUC